This is a small nucleolar RNA of Suncus etruscus (white-toothed pygmy shrew), 132 nucleotides long. RefSeq annotates it as small nucleolar RNA SNORA70. Lineage: Eukaryota; Metazoa; Chordata; Mammalia; Eulipotyphla; Soricidae. The transcript has a single exon. The record is from RefSeq and is a predicted model, not a curated record.
CUAUAACCAAUUAAGCAGACUGUGUUCUUUCCCAUGGGACCUGCUCAGCAACUUCUGGAAGCAGCAGCUUCAUUGGUUGUGUCUGGAACCUAUUUGUUGUAUAGACUGUUCCAAGAAACCUUGGAGACAGUA